UAACACGUAGGUAACCUGCCCAUGUGCCCGGGAUAACUUCUGGAAACGGAUGCUAAAACCGGAUAGGUAGCAGACAAGCAUUUGACUGCUAUUAAAGUGGCCUUGGCCAUGAACAUGGAUGGACCUGCGGUGCAUUAGCUAGUUGGUGAGGUAACGGCCCACCAAGGCGACGAUGCAUAGCCGGCCUGAGAGGGCGGACGGCCACAUUGGGACUGAGACACGGCCCAAACUCCUACGGGAGGCAGCAGUAGGGAAUUUUCGUCAAUGGGGGGAACCCUGAACGAGCAAUGCCGCGUGAGUGAGGAAGGUCUUCGGAUCGUAAAGCUCUGUUGUAAGAGAAAAACGGCACUCAUAGGGAAUGAUGAGUGAGUGAUGGUAUCUUACCAGAAAGUCACGGCUAACUACGUGCCAGCAGCCGCGGUAAUACGUAGGUGGCGAGCGUUAUCCGGAAUGAUUGGGCGUAAAGGGUGCGUAGGUGGCAGAUCAAGUCUGGAGUAAAAGGUAUGGGCUCAACCCGUACUGGCUCUGGAAACUGAUCAGCUAGAGAACAGAAGAGGACGGCGGAACUCCAUGUGUAGCGGUAAAAUGCGUAGAUAUAUGGAAGAACACCGGUGGCGAAGGCGGCCGUCUGGUCUGGAUUCUGACACUGAAGCACGAAAGCGUGGGGAGCAAAUAGGAUUAGAUACUCUAGUAGU
RNAcentral lists this ribosomal RNA (695 nucleotides) under uncultured bacterium. RNAcentral's name for it is "bacterial SSU rRNA". It matches the Rfam family "Bacterial small subunit ribosomal RNA", at positions 111 to 794 of the family's 1533-position model. The record is from RNAcentral.